GCAUAGGAAAUGGUGCAAUCUGGGCUGUCUUUCAGCCUUUUCAACCUCAUUUCCUAAAUUAAAGAAAGAAAUGUAAGGAAUCUUAGGAAUAUGAAACUUCUCCGGAAUAAUCUUUAUUGAGCUGUGCUUGGAGACAUCCUGAAGGGCUGUCAAGGCAGCCAAGAAGAAAAGAAAAUGAGAAAUAUCUUUAACAGUCUCAGCCAAACUCUGAAAAAGAUAUCUAGAGCAGGGGCUAUUUUUUUCUUCCCAGAACGGUUUGCCUUUCCCCCAGUUUGAGGAUUGUUUUUAGAUUAUUUUGGGGGCUAAGAGGAGAAAGGAGGAGGGAACCUAGUGUUUAGGAAGUAGCAUGAUGCGGUUAGUCGUACCCUGUUCGCUUUGGAAUCUGCACAGCUGUUUUAUACAUGCUGACUUCCUCUCCUUUUCAGAUGCCACUGACUGACUCUGCUCUGUACGCUCUCUGUACUGAAGAAAGGAGAAUUGAACUGAAUCUUCACUUCCACAGAAAAGUACAUCCUACAGGGUUUAAUAAAUAUGAACCUUAUAUCAUAAAAUAUUUCAAGGAAUUUGAAUAUUUCAAAGCUCCAUCCAUCCAAAGCCUGAAUAAUUCAUGUAAAUAUUUGAAGGAUUUGUAAAGCAACAAAAUGUCCGUUGGGCACUUGAACAUGGAUAAGGAUAAACAGGGGUCUGAUAAGCCAUCUUGGAAAGACUAUGCCUUUGAUGAUAUACGGAGGCUCUAUCAUCUUAUGGCUACCACCAUGUUGACCGUUCCAGAUUGUGUUCAGUAUACUGUUCUUUGUUCUGGUCCAUAAACAGAGAUCUUGUGCUUGGUGGAAAGCUCAGCUCAAGAAGUGUUGAGAUGCAGAUUAAAUUAAUUACACCAGAAUUAUAUUUGAAAAUUGAAAAGAAGCAUUUUUCUAAAAGGCAAAUUCCAAAUAUAUGCCUUUUCAAAGGAAGUGUCACUUGGAAAGAAACUGAAUCACACCAUGAAAUCUGUGGCAUUUCUUUUGGUUUCCACUCUCUUCCAUACUAGUGGUAGGCUCAUGUGAUAUGUAGAAAUGUGCUUAAUCAAAUUUAGCUUGACUUCUCAAGAAAAUGUAUAUGCAGUAUUUCUGAGAUAAGAAGAGGCACAUUCUUUUUUUAGCACACAUACUUCCUAUGCUGCUGCUUUUGCCUUAUUCCCUUAUUUGAAAAUUUGGCUUUGCUUAUAAAAUCUACAAAUUUCUCUUUGUUUAGAACAGGGCUAGAAUAGCCUGGGAUCCUGUGGAACUGAAUGGUAUUUUAGAGUGCUGAUUCUCAUUUUCUCUUCAAUAAAGAUCGCAACACGUUACUUGUUUGUAUCUUCUAGCACACACAACGGGGAUUACCCACCUGGGAAAGGGAUUCUGGUGCAAGCCUUCUGUUUGCUGAGCUAUGUGUUGUUGAGCAAGUCACUUAAUCUCUGAGGUAAAACGAGGGACUGUUGCCUAAAACUCCAUGAUUCUGUAGUUUAAGUAUAAUCAACUCGAAAGUUUGAUGAUUUCUUUGAAAAUUAAAAAAAAAUGCUAGUGACCAUAAAUGCAUACCGCUGAGCCCUGAGUUUAUUUUUGAAAUAAUGUAAGACAGGGAGAGAGGUUUGGGGGGUCCCUUCCUUUAUAUAAAUUUUAUAAUGGGAUAUGUUUGUCUAAGGUAGCACAUGCCAAGAGUUCCGGGUCUAUAGAUGCUACCAGAAUUAGAGACGUAGAGAUAAGGAUAAUGAAUUUUU
Molecule: long non-coding RNA, 1741 nt
Organism: Mirounga angustirostris (Northern elephant seal)
Lineage: Eukaryota; Metazoa; Chordata; Mammalia; Carnivora; Phocidae
Exons: 3
Source: RefSeq, a predicted model, not a curated record